Molecule: long non-coding RNA, 1122 nt
Filed under: Vigna radiata
Lineage: Eukaryota; Viridiplantae; Streptophyta; Magnoliopsida; Fabales; Fabaceae
Description: long non-coding RNA (VRAD_LNC003876)
Source: RNAcentral
AUGAUUCGAAGCUCCUUUCCCAGUUUCAGGAGAUUGCUUCUGCAGAAUGUUUCGCCUUCUGCGUCCUCCAAGGUUUGUCUUACUUUCCUACGUUUUCUUUUCCAUCCUCUUCUUAUGAAUGCGCUUCAUCGUACACUGUUUCAGAUGCAAGCUUUUAAGAUCAUUGUUAUGAAAACAACAAGUUUAGCUUAUGCGGUAGAAUGACACUAAAAUUCGUUAUGUUUUUAAUGUAUAUGUAGUUCAUAUAAUCUUUUCAGGUCAUUCUUAUGAAGAAAAUGUUUAACACCUAUUUAAAAUAUUUACACUAUUAACUUGUGUAAAUCUAGGGAAAUCAAAAUGUCUGAAAGAAUAUUGAUUAUCAUGUUCGUGAUAAAUAUUUCAUAUAUUUUUGGCAUUUUUUUUCCAAGAUAACAUAAAAUGUAUGCGUAAUGAACAGAGAAGUAUCACUUAAGUUAAUAAUAAAUUAAAGGUUUAAUAGGUUCGGAGGUUCCUAUAUUUAGAGGUUUGUUUCAAUUGGGUCCUCCAAUUUUGAAAGUGAUCUUCCUAAUUUUGUCAAUUUGAAUCAAUAAAAGUCUUUCCGUUAAAUGUAGUUAACACCGUGAAGUUUUUAAACAUGUGGCACGCUAACGCUUCCAGGUGGCAUCGUUUAAAGUGCAUAAAAGGGUGAAAUUCCUAAAAGGGAUUUCACCUUCAAAUACACCCUUUUAAUUUAAGGAUUUCACCCUUUUAUAAUCCAUCUAUGCACAUGAAACCAUGUCACCUGGAAGCGUCAGCAUGCUACAUGUUCAAAAAUUUCACGACGUUAACUGCAUUUAACAGAAAAACUUUUAUUAAUUCAAAUUGACAAAAUUAGAGACCUAAUUGAUUACUUCAAAAAUUGGAAGAUCCAAUUGAAACAAACCUCGACCUCAUAACCUAUUAAACCUAAAUUAAAAUAAACAUUUGAACCCAAAUCCACUAUAGUGUAUCUAAGUAGUAAAGAAGAGACCAACCUCUUGUAAAUUUUCUUAUAGUACAGAAGUACUGUUUGAUGGACCAUUAUGCCGUCGGCAGCCACGACUGUACAAAUUCUGGAGAUGCUCAUCUGACAAAGACAGAUAACUACUGUGUAUCAUCUUCAAG